Molecule: long non-coding RNA, 1642 nt
Filed under: Ursus maritimus (polar bear)
Lineage: Eukaryota; Metazoa; Chordata; Mammalia; Carnivora; Ursidae
Description: lncRNA (ENSUMAG00000019128.1)
Source: RNAcentral
AUUUAUUCACCCUUCCAUCCACCCACCCAUCCAUCUGUUCAUCUAUCUACCUAUUAUCUAUCUACCUACCUACCUAUACCUGGCACCAAGUAUCUUGGGAAGAUACUACUACAAGAAGAUGGGAAUGGAAAUCUGAAGGUGCUAAUUCAAGUCUGCCAUGGGAAGAAUCAAACUCAGUGUUAAAAUAUCCCCUGAGACUCCAUGGUCUGAUGGAGUGAAUGUAUUCACGCCAACUGCUGUUACAGCUUCUCAACCUAAUACAUGGGGUUGCAUAUGUGACAUGAUGCUGGCUCUUUUAAAGCUCUCCCCUCCCGAUCUCCUCUCUUUUGAGAUAACACAACAUGAGUAGAAUCAUCAGGAUGGCAACGACGAUUUCAAGCGCUUUCCAUGACAGCAGACGAGUGUGAAACUCUGUUGUUUAAAUUACAUUAACAGGGUAAUUUGGGGUUGUGAAUGACGGGAAAGUCAGGUCCUACGGGUGCACAGAGCGAUGUCAAACAUAUGCCUGCAUAGAAGCACAGAAGAGACGUGCUGGCUGGCUAUGCAAGUGGCCCCAUUCCCAGCACGGCUUCCACGCUGAAUAAUGAAAGAAUUUGUGAGGUCUACAAGCAUACCCUGAGUGCUGUCCUUAACCAUGAAUGCCCUGUUAUUUUUUUUUUUUUAAUUUCUUCUCCUUCUUCUCCUUCUCCUCCUUCUCCUUCUUCUUCUUCUUUAAAUCCCUGAGUUGGUAUUCUCUGUGCAGGAGCUGCUGAUUAUAAAGAGUCUCCCCAUACUCAUGAGGCUCCGCGGAGCUCAGUAGGGGUUUUGCUGCCGGUCAGAACGAAACAUUAGCAGACGUGGAGGGCAACGCUACCAACGCUACUUCAUUGGUGCAUUUUGCACAGCAUCAGGGGCUGUUUGGGAACAAUGGCAUCACCAGCCUGUGUGGCUGUCACUUUAUUGAAGUGCCAAGGGGGAGGAAUCAGCUACAGCGCUGACAUUCACGUCCAACACCGCGCGUGGAGAAAAGCACAGUCGCAGAGCGUCAUCUGCUUGUACGUGGAGAAGAUUGCUGAUGGAGAACCUUUCUUACCAAGAGUGCUUUCCGUGCUCUCCAGCAGCCUGCAGCGUCCACGACUCCCAAAAUGCGGGCUGCUGUUUUGUGUGAAGUUUGUGGUCACUGACUAAAGCAGCCUUGGGGAACUUACACUGCCAAUCAGAGGGACAGAACAAACAAGUGGAAGCUUCUAGUGCAAUUGGAAAUGGAGGACACAUGCCAUUUUAGAGGUAAGUACAUAUGAACUGGUACCUUCCUAGUACUGGUUUGGAAAAUGGAUUAGCCUUAAAUUUUAGGGAUGCAACCAUAUUUUAAAAAGAUUUUAUUCAUUUAUUUGACACAGAGAAAGAGGGAGAGACAGAGAAAGAGAGCACAAGCAGUGGGAGCAGCAGAGGGAGAGCGAGAAGCAGUCUCCCCGCUGAGCAAGGAGCCUGAUGUGGGACUCGAUGCCAGGACCCUGGAAUCAUGACCUGAGCCCAAGGCAGUCGCUGAACUGACUGAGCCACCGAGGUGCCCUGGGAUGCAAUUAAUUGUUGCUUCAACUCUAGAAGGGAUAUGAACCAAUUUUUGCCCAUCAAUAAAGUGCAGGCAGUUGUUUACUCGUCA